This 851-nucleotide long non-coding RNA is filed under the name Dermacentor andersoni. RNAcentral's name for it is "uncharacterized LOC126525054". Lineage: Eukaryota; Metazoa; Arthropoda; Arachnida; Ixodida; Ixodidae. The record is from RNAcentral.
AAAAGAAAGGUAUUGCCGUGACCAGGAUUCAAACCUGGGUUAUUGCGGCCACAACGCAAGGUACUAACCACUAUACGAUCACGGCUGCCCGGCUGGACGGAGCUACACCUUUCCCUGAUCGCUGUCAUGGAAGCUGCCGAUGGGAGCUCAAGGACGAUGCCGUGUGGAAGGAAAAAGAAAAAAAAGGGGGGGGGGGGAAUACCCUCAGUCUGGGCGUCACAGGAAAAGAACGCGAAUGAAACGGCCAGUUAUUGGCUGCAAAUUCCGCACGCCGUAUGCACGCAAACAAAAAAUCAAUUGCUUAAUAUCGUAAGACAUUAAAUAAAUGGGGAGAAAAAAAAAGUAUUGCCGUGACCAGGAUUCGAACCUGGGUUAUUGCGGCCACAACGCAAGGUACUAACCACUAUACGAUCACGGCUGCCCGGCUGGACGGAGCUACACCUUUCCCUGAUCGCCGUCAUGGAAGCUGCAGAUGGGAGCUCAAGGACGAUGCCGUGUUGAAGGAAACAGAAAAAAAAGGAGGGGGGGCGGGGUGAAUGCCCUCAGUCUGGGCGUCACAGGAAAACAAAGCGAAUGAAACGGCCAGAAAUUGGCUGAAAAUUCCGCACACCGCAUGCACGCAAACAAAAAUCAAUAGCUCAAUACUGUAACACAUUAAAUCAUUGAGGAGAAAAAAAUGCAUUGCCGUGACCAGGAUUCGAACCUGGGUUAUUGCGGCCACAACGCAAGGUACUAACCACUAUACGAUCACGGCUGCCCGGCUGGACGGAGCUACACCUUUCCCGGAUCGCCGUCAUGGAAGCUGCCGAUGGGAGCUCAAGGACGAUGCCGUGUUGAAGGAAACAGAAAAA